GCCUGCCCAGUGACAUAGUUUAACGGCCGCGGUACCCUAACCGUGCGAAGGUAGCAUAAUCACUUGUUCCUUAAAUAGGGACUAGUAUCAACGGCAUUACGAGGGCUGUACUGUCUCCUUUCUCCAAUCAGUGAAACUGAUCUCCCCGUGAAGAAGCGGGGAUUUUAAUAUAAGACGAGAAGACCCCAUGGAGCUUUAAGCAACGAAUUUACCACAUACCAACAACUCAACUAAUCCUAAAACCUAAAUUCUAGCUUUUGGUUGGGGGGACCGCGGAGUAUAACCCAACCUCCGCAACUAAUGGGCUCUGCCCUUAUCCACGAGCUACAACUCUAAGAAUCAUAAAAUUGAUGUCUUUGACCCGAAAACCUCGAUCAAUGAACCAAGUUACCCUGGGGAUAACAGCGCAAUCUACUUUAAGAGCCCCUAUCGACAAGUAGGUUUACGACCUCGAUGUUGGAUCAGGGUAUCCUAGUGGUGCAGCCGCUACUAAUGGUUCGUUUGUUCAACGAUUAAAACCCUACAUGAUCUGAGUUC
Molecule: ribosomal RNA, 537 nt
Filed under: Hylarana erythraea (green paddy frog)
Lineage: Eukaryota; Metazoa; Chordata; Amphibia; Anura; Ranidae
Description: partial 16S ribosomal RNA
Rfam family: Bacterial large subunit ribosomal RNA
Source: RNAcentral